Molecule: ribosomal RNA, 484 nt
Filed under: uncultured bacterium
Lineage: Bacteria
Description: partial 16S ribosomal RNA
Rfam family: Bacterial small subunit ribosomal RNA
Source: RNAcentral
AUUGAACGCUGGCGGCAGGCCUAACACAUGCAAGUCGAGCGGAUGAAGGGUGCUUGCUCCUGGAUUCAGCGGCGGACGGGUGAGUAAUGCCUAGGAAUCUGCCUGGUAGUGGGGGAUAACGUCCGGAAACGGGCGCUAAUACCGCAUACGUCCUGCGGGAGAAAGUGGGGGAUCUUCGGACCUCACGCUAUCAGAUGAGCCUAGGUCGGAUUAGCUAGUUGGUGGGGUAAAGGCCUACCAAGGCGACGAUCCGUAACUGGUCUGAGAGGAUGAUCAGUCACACUGGAACGGAGACACGGUCCAGAGUCCUACGGGAGGCGGCAGUGGGGAAUAUUGGACCAGGGGCGGAAGCCUGAUCCAGCCAUGCCGCGUGUGUGAAGAAGGUCUUCGGAUUGUAGAGCACUUUAAGUUGGGAGGAAGGGCAGUUAGUUAGUACCUUGCUGUUUUGACGUUUCCUACAGAAUAAGCACCGGCUAACUUCGUG